This is a long non-coding RNA of Corapipo altera (White-ruffed manakin), 2185 nucleotides long. RefSeq lists it as uncharacterized. The transcript is spliced from 4 exons. The record is from RefSeq and is a predicted model, not a curated record. Lineage: Eukaryota; Metazoa; Chordata; Aves; Passeriformes; Pipridae.
GAGAAGAGGGGCUGGGGCGGAACAUGGUGGAGGAGGGAGGGGGGAAGUGUGAGGGAAAGGCACUCUUUGAGGGGCUGGUAGAGUUCAGGGCGCUGUGAGGGCUUGGGGAGCUGUGACGGGAGCGUGAGGGCUCGGGGGGUCCAGUCGAUAUGGGGGCUUGGAGAUCUGUAAGGAUUCAGGGGUAGAUGAGGGGAGUGUGAGGGCUUGGGGGUCUGUGAUGGAACGGUGAGGGUUUGGGGGAUCUGGGGGCUGUGAGGGCUCAGAGGGUCCAGCUGUUGUGAGGGGGCCAUGAAGGUCCAUGGGGCUUUGAGGGGUUGGGAGACUGUAAGGACUUGGGGGCUGUGAGGGCUUGGAGGUCUGUGAGGGGAUUGUGGGGGCCUGGGCAGCCAUGAGUGGUCUGGUGCUGUGAAGGCUCAGGAGGUCCAGCAUUUUGAGGGGGCCAUGAAGGUCCAUGGGGCUGUGAGGGCUCGGGGGGGCUGUGAAGGGUCGUGGGGCCAUGAGAGCUCUUGGGUCAGGCUGAACCGCUCAGUGCCAGCUCCCCUGUGCUGUGAGGGGAGUGCCCCUGUGAGGGGGUCUGUGUGAGGUGGGUGCUGCUUGCCCUUGGUGGCCCCUCCAUCCUGAACUGUGUGUGGGUGCUGCAGCCUUGUCAUGAGGCAGCUGAACACCCCGGGCUGGAGAAACCACCCUUGCCUUUCCUCUGACCCUUAUUCCACCGCCCAGCUUUGUGAGCACAUUCCUGCCCAGCCAGUGCAUCCAUUGGUCACAGUUUCUAUUAAGCACACUUUGAUUAUUGUUUCAGCAGAGCCUUUGUAUGGUUAUAUGUAUUCAUUGGGAUGCCAGCUGGGUCUACGAGUCCCAGCAUCUCUUCUUGUUUCACACUGUAGCAAAAACUUGAAAGAGGCUCCUAAAGCCAGGGAGUCUCACCCUCCUGCCUCGUUGUGCUGAGGCAAAGGCAGCAGUGACCUCAAUCCUGCCGACACACAGAGCACACCAGGCCAGCUCUGUGUCACUCAGGCGUUCAUGUGACACACAGAGAUGUUGUUCCUUGUACACAUAUCCUGGGAUCUGUGCCUGGAUAACAAUAAUCCAAUCCUGUGCCUGCAUCAGGCAAGGAGGUGGCUGGAGAAGAACAGCCCUGUGGAGGUUGAGUAGCCCCUGGUAGUUGGCUUAAUAUAAAGGUUAUGGUGAUCGAUAUUUCUGGCAUAUAAACAUCAUAUUCCCACAGAGGUGCUGGAAGGAGUCCAGGAACUCUUGGAGCAGCCCCAGAGACCCUGGGAGGAGCCCCAGAGCAUCGGGAACCUGAGAGGAUCCUGGGACAGACCUGUGUCUGCCUCAGAGGUGCCCAGGGAGACACACAGAGCUCAUCCUUCACGUCUGAAACCGGAAUGCAGGAGAAAUUAUGCUGCUGAGAGACCAAAGUUCCUUGAAGUGAGGGGCUGCUUCCAGAGGCUGGUGAGUGAGGAGUGCAGUUGUGGGAUUCCUGCUUGAGAGAAAUCAGAAGGGCUGGAUGGGAUCAAGCCACAGGCCCACCCAGGCCAGCAUCUUGUCUCUCAUGAUCUGCAGCAGUUACCAAAGAACAGAGCAAGCAGAUCUGGAUGUGGCAGGUGGUUCAGCCAAUUCUUUAGCCACAAGCAAUUGCUGAGAGCAGCAGAACUGCAGUUGCACAUGAGCAGAAAUUAUCUGCCAGAAGAUCUCUCCCAGGGUUCAGCCUGAGUGAGAAGCAAGGGACUUGUGUAUAAACAUAAAGAACUUAUGGACAGAUAGAAAAUCCUCAUUAUUUAUCAUUUCCACAGUUGAAUUCUAACCAAAGGCCUGCAAGCAUCUUUGUUUCAAAGCUUGCCUAGAUCCUUCCUACAUUCUUCAGAAGGUUUGAGCAAAGAACACAUCAGAAGGUGUAGGCACAUCUCCCACCAACUAAAUACCAGCAGCCAGGUUAUCUGAAAUAAUUUUCUUUCACUGUGCCUUCAGGUGUUCCCAUUGUAGCCCCAAAGUACAGCAAAACACAGCAAAACAGCUCUGGAGUAAACAGGCCAAAUCAGCACCCCCCAUCCUGCUCACUGAAACACUCUGUGUUCACAAUAACCCCCCUGCUUUGAUCCCUUGCCAAGAAUAACACAGACAGUCUAUUAAAACAUCUUUAAUAACAUGAUAUAAUUAAAAAUAUCUAACGUGCAACUCAAAGAAA